Molecule: transfer RNA, 42 nt
Filed under: Microdevario nanus
Lineage: Eukaryota; Metazoa; Chordata; Actinopteri; Cypriniformes; Danionidae
Description: tRNA-Glu
Source: RNAcentral
UUUUUCGUGUCACAGGUUUCGGUUAAAAUCCGAGCAGGAAUU